GCGCAUCGGCAACAGUCAUCGCCCACACCAGCACCACUCAAUUAUUCGCGGCACGCUGUGGAAUCAUUUACCCAAUCAUUUAGUUACAUCAACGCAACGCAACGCAACGCGCGGACCGCCUGCACGGUCAGUUUCGCGGGUUCCACCACUACCACCGUCACUACCACCAUCGACAUUGGCAUCACCCUUUUCCUUUUACUACCUGCUACUACUACUACUACUACUAUUACUACUACUGCUACUACUACUGCUGCUACUACUAUUACUACCCUCCACCACCGACCUAACUCUCUCCGCCUGACUGACUGUGUUUUCGGUGAAGCGCGAGGAGGACAACGGGAAUUACAGAGAAAGAGAGAAAGAGAUAGACGACUACGAAGAGGGUACGUGGCUUUGUCGGGGGUUGAAGAGGGGGUUGAGGUCGCAUACCGAGGCUAUUGUAUUUCGCCACGUGGGACCCGUUCUUUGUCAGAGUAUGUGUAUCUCUCUCUCUCUCUCUCUCUCUCUCUCUCUCUCUCUCUCAAUUUUCAUCUUCCUCUCUCUCAGAGCCUGGCUCGGCUUUGGGUGUAUCGUUACCCUGUUGAUUUUCCGAUGUAUCGUUGUGAUGACGAUAUAAUAGCGCUCGCCGAUGCUUUACGAACGGAUUUACUUUGUUGAUAUCUCCCCACCGAUGUCAUCCUGUCGUUUUUCCCAUGCCGAUCGAGAUCAGUCAAACGGGACCGGGAGUUCUUUAAAAGUCCAAUGAUUUUUCAUUUAUCAUCUUGGAGAUUUCGUCGUUAGACGGUUCGCGUAUUUAAGUAAUAUUCGAUCGGACAUUAUUAUCUCGUUGUUCAUCAAUUCCAAUAUACUUUUCGUUAAACCGUAUUCGUAAUUUGUUCAAUAUUUUUGUUUUCCUUUAAGUUUAGCCAAAAAUAUGAGCAAUAGUUAGAACGAACAGGAAAGAAAGUUGUUGUAGUUUAGUUGUAAAAACAAACAAAAAUCCUAACUCUGUCAUUCAGUAAAAAUCCAAGAUGAUUUAUGGGAAAACCAAGAUGAUACUACGGUGAUCUCGUAUAAUCAAGGUAAGACAUUAACGAACAAUAAAUCUCGAUCUCCAUCGAAAGCUUUAAUAGCAGGCACGAAAUUCGAUCGCCGAAGAAAAGCAAUCGAACGGCAUUCUAUGGCGGAACGACAAAGUCGUUUUGCAAAGUGUAGCAUCAGCGAUUCCUCCAUCAUAGGGGCCAAUCGUAGCGGACUUCCAUCCCCACGGCGGAUCCGGAUACAUCCUGGAAAAGAGGAAAAAAAUCCAUCGGCGUGGGUGGUACCGGGCGGGUGGUAUAUUGCAGAUCAAUACAAUUGCACGUUAGUGCUAAUAAAUAAUAGGCGGUGGGAGCAGAAAAAAGCGCGCAAUGCAGCAACGAACGCAACACACAAAUAAUACGCAAUACAUCAACCAAGCCGUGUAGAGUCGUCGUUCCAUCUUGGACAAUGGCCAAGCUCCUGAUUACCGUGAUCCUUAAUGGAAAUGUCCAAUCUAAAGGGUGAAAGAUCGUAGGCGCCGAAAGUUCGCUUUCAAUUUUUCCACGCGCAUAGGACUUCCCUUUUCGGUAAAGGGACACGAGUUUUGUCUUCGACGAGAUGUUCGUUUCAGAGGAAAAAAAAGAGGAAGAUGAUGAAGGAGAAGAAGAAGAAGAUGAAUACUUUCCAGAAACGGCGUGCCAGUGACCUAGAUAGAUUCUUGGAAUCGGCUUGAGUCCACGCUUGCGGCCUUGCCCGGAAUGCGGACAAAAAACUGUCGCCUGGGGCCACUUUAGAGGCAGGUUUGGGACGAGGAACUUCUUCACAAUCGACGUCAUUAACGUUUACGUUCUAGAGACGAAAGGACGAUGAAGGGAGUAGGUGGAUGGAUGGUCAAGGAAGGAAGGUCGGAAGGUAGACAGGAAGGGAGAAAGGAAGAAGAAGAAGAAGAAGAAGAAGAAGAAAGGUAAAGUCCUGUAGGACGACUAGGACGAAGAGGAAGAAGACGACGAUGGUGGUAGCCAGUGACGAUUCUCGUCUCCAAUGAACAUUAUUACGAGACGAGCUGAACCAUAGAUAAACUCCUAGUCGACGAGAUCUCGAGUUCACUGUGAAGCAAUAUGAAACUCCUCGAUCUAAUAUGGCUUGAGGCGGCGACGAAGCAUGACGUCACAUCCGUCCCGUCCGAUGGUCAUCUUGAAUAUUGAGUCGACCGCCGUCGGACCGGAAGUUAUGAGAUUCGGAUUUCGAUCCCACGUUCUCCCUAUUCGCACGCGAUAACCUUUGCGUACAUACAUUCAUAUAUAUAUAUAUAUAUAUUAUAUAAAGUACAUAUAUAAAAUAUAUGUAUA
This is a long non-coding RNA of Polistes canadensis, 2348 nucleotides long. RefSeq lists it as uncharacterized. The transcript is spliced from 4 exons. The record is from RefSeq and is a predicted model, not a curated record. Lineage: Eukaryota; Metazoa; Arthropoda; Insecta; Hymenoptera; Vespidae.